RNAcentral lists this ribosomal RNA (1190 nucleotides) under unidentified marine bacterioplankton. Its description in RNAcentral is "bacterial SSU rRNA". It matches the Rfam family "Bacterial small subunit ribosomal RNA", at positions 38 to 1277 of the family's 1533-position model. RNAcentral also lists the same sequence under 1 other name. The record is from RNAcentral.
GGCGGUAUGCUUAACACAUGCAAGUCGAACGAAAGUUUUUAACUUUAGUGGCGAACGGGUGCGUAAUACGUGAGAAUCUGCCCUUAGGAGGAGUAUAACUGCUGGAAACGGCUGCUAACACUCCAUAUGUCGAGAGAUGAAAUAAUUUAUUGCCUAAGGAUGAGCUCGCGCCUGAUUAGCUAGUUGGUGAGGUAAUGGCUCACCAAGGCCACGAUCAGUAGCUGGUUUGAGAGAACGAUCAGCCACACUGGGACUGAGACACGGCCCAGACUCCUCCGGGAGGCAGCAGUGAGGAAUUUUCCGCAAUGGGCGAAAGCCUGACGGAGCAAUACCGCGUGAGGGAUGAAGGAUUUUGGUCUGUAAACCUCUUUUCUCAAGAAAGAAGUUCUGACGGUACUUGAGGAAUAAGCAUCGGCUAACUCCGUGCCAGCAGCCGCGGUAAUACGGGGGAUGCAAGCGUUAUCCGGAAUCAUUGGGCGUAAAGCGCCUGUAGGUUGUUUAAUAAGUCUGUUGUUAAAGACUAGGGCUCAACCCUAGAAAAGCAAUGGAAACUGUUAGACUAGAGUAUGGCAGGGGUAGAGGGAAUUUCUAGUGUAGCGGUGAAAUGCGUAGAUAUUAGAAAGAACACCGGUGGCGAAAGCGCUCUACUGGACCAUUACUGACACUCAGAGGCGAAAGCUAGGGUAGCAAGAGGGAUUAGAUACCCCUGUAGUCCUAGCCGUAAACGAUGGAUACUAGAUGUUGUAUGUUAUUUACAGUAUCGUAGCUAACGCGUUAAGUAUCCCGCCUGGGGAGUACGCUCGCAAGGGUGAAACUCAAAGGAAUUGACGGGGGCCCGCACAAGCGGUGGAGCAUGUGGUUUAAUUCGAUGCAACGCGAAGAACCUUACCAGGGCUUGACAUACUACAGAUUCUUUUGAGAGAGAGAAGUGCCUUCGGGAAUGUAGAUACAGGUGGUGCAUGGCUGUCGUCAGCUCGUGUCGUGAGAUGUUGGGUUAAGUCCCGCAACGAGCGCAACCCACGUUUUUAGUUGCCAGCAUUUAGUUGGGCACUCUAGAAAGACCGCCGGUGAUAAACCGGAGGAAGGUGUGGAUGACGUCAAGUCAUCAUGCCCCUUACACCCUGGGCUACACACGUACUACAAUGCUACGGACAAAGGGCAGCAAACUCGCGAGAGCUAGCAAAUCCCAU